RNAcentral lists this ribosomal RNA (141 nucleotides) under Pseudoalteromonas sp. MSK9-3. Its description in RNAcentral is "partial 16S ribosomal RNA". The stretch from base 23 to 141 matches the Rfam family "Bacterial small subunit ribosomal RNA", at positions 1 to 114 of the family's 1533-position model. Lineage: Bacteria; Pseudomonadati; Pseudomonadota; Gammaproteobacteria; Alteromonadales; Pseudoalteromonadaceae. The record is from RNAcentral.
UAAAGGGUUUCAACAAAACUUUUAAUUGAAGAGUUUGAUCAUGGCUCAGAUUGAACGCUGGCGGCAGGCCUAACACAUGCAAGUCGAGCGGUAACAGAGAUAGCUUGCUAUCUGCUGACGAGCGGCGGACGGGUGAGUAAU